This is a long non-coding RNA of Physeter macrocephalus (sperm whale), 785 nucleotides long. RefSeq lists it as uncharacterized. The record is from RefSeq and is a predicted model, not a curated record. The transcript has 5 exons. Lineage: Eukaryota; Metazoa; Chordata; Mammalia; Artiodactyla; Physeteridae.
GGGGGCGGGGCCGGUAACUUGCCAGUAGGCAAGGGACGCCACCAGUUAGUUGGGGUCUACAGAACAGACCCGUUUUUCUAUGGUGAUCAGUUGAAGAAUAUCGUCAUUUGUUGAAAUGAACCAGUGCCCUUGAUUUCUUAGAAGAGGUGAAGGGAAAUGAUCACAAACCACGUUAUUUUUCAGUGUAUCACCUGACUUCAUGAAAUGUUGACAGAUAGCCAAGACAUAGUGAUUCAACAGUUGGAAUACAAUAAAAUGAUUACAUGUCAUCCCGAGAAAGAUCUGUAAGUGAGAAUGUACAGUAAUCCAUUUCAAACUCUGGCUUUCGUGGAUUUAGACCAGGCUCCCCCGGAGAAAGAAGAGGAAGAGAAGAAAGGCGAGGGUGUAUGGAUUUUUUAUGUUGAUUACAACAAGGCUUUCCAUGAGCAGCGGAAUAUCUCAUUAAAAAAAACCCUGGGGCUUCCCUGGUGGCGCAGCGGUUGAGAGUCCGCCUGCCGAUGCAGGGGACACGGGUUCGUGCCCCGGUCCGGGAGGAUCCCACACGCCGUGGAGCGGCUGGGCCCGUGAGCCAUGGCCGCUGAGCCUGCGCGUCCGGAGCCUGUGCUCCGGGACGGGAGAGACCACAACAGUGAGAGAGGCCCGCGUACCGCAAAAACAAACAAACAAACAAAAAACCUGCAUCCCCAAAGGCAGGAAAAGGUAAAAAUGCCCUUUCUUCUGAGGACAUGGUGGAGUUCUUGUUUGUGGCUCCUUGUGCGGAAUUGAACCAAGGUGAUUGCAGCAAC